This 403-nucleotide ribosomal RNA is filed under the name uncultured bacterium. Its description in RNAcentral is "bacterial SSU rRNA". It matches the Rfam family "Bacterial small subunit ribosomal RNA", at positions 355 to 775 of the family's 1533-position model. The record is from RNAcentral.
UAGGGAAUAUUAGUAAUGGGCGAAAGCCUGAACUAGCAACGCCGCGUGUGCGAAGAAGGCCUUCGGGUUGUAGAGCACUUUUUGAGAGGAUGAGGAAGGACGGUACUCUCAGAAUAAGCCUCGGCUAACUACGUGCCAGCAGCCGCGGUAACACGUAGGAGGCAAACGUUAUCCGGAUUUACUGGGCGUAAAGCGCGUGUAGGUGGUUUGGUAAGUAGGGCGUGAAAGCUCCUGGCUCAACUGGGAGAGGCCGUUCUAAACUGCCGAACUAGAGGAUGGUAGAGGGAGGUGGAAUUCCGGGUGUAGCGGUGGAAUGCGCAGAUAUCCGGAUGAACACCAGUGGCGAAAGCGGCCUCCUGGACCAUUCCUGACACUCAGACGCGAAAGCUAGGGUAGCAAACGG